CGUAGACUAGGUGAAUCAUCGAAUCUUUGAACGCACCUUGCACGGAUUCUAAUCGGUCCGUAUGCCUGUUUGAGUGUCAUCUACCCACUCACCGCGCGUCUGCUUCUCUUUACGGAGAUAUAGCGCGCGCGCGGGGGAAGAUGCCGGUCGAUGACGAAAUCAUCAUCAUCGUCGGGUGAAACGCAUUGCUGCCGGCCUGCCGCACACCGAUCGAAGCAAGUUCCUGACGGAUCACUGUCUCGACCGGUGGCGUGGCGUGGCUGCACACACCGAUACACACACCAACUGUGGGGCGCGCGCAUCGCCGCCGCCGCCACAAUCGCUGACCUCAAAUCAGGCAAGACUACCCGCUGAACUUAAGCAUAUCAAUAAGCGGAGG
This 379-nucleotide ribosomal RNA is filed under the name Malvales environmental sample. Its description in RNAcentral is "eukaryotic LSU rRNA". The stretch from base 324 to 379 matches the Rfam family "Eukaryotic large subunit ribosomal RNA", at positions 1 to 56 of the family's 3401-position model. Lineage: Eukaryota; Viridiplantae; Streptophyta; Magnoliopsida; Malvales. The record is from RNAcentral.